RNAcentral lists this ribosomal RNA (253 nucleotides) under uncultured bacterium. RNAcentral describes it as "partial 16S ribosomal RNA". It matches the Rfam family "Bacterial small subunit ribosomal RNA", at positions 524 to 776 of the family's 1533-position model. The record is from RNAcentral.
UACGUAGGGUGCAAGCGUUAAUCGGAAUUACUGGGCGUAAAGCGUGCGCAGGCGGUUCUAUAAGACAGAUGUGAAAUCCCCGGGCUCAACCUGGGAACUGCAUUUGUGACUGUAGAGCUGGAGUGCGGCAGAGGGGGAUGGAAUUCCGCGUGUAGCAGUGAAAUGCGUAGAUAUGCGGAGGAACACCGAUGGCGAAGGCAAUCCCCUGGGCCAACACUGACGCUCAUGCACGAAAGCGUGGGGAGCAAACAGG